Molecule: ribosomal RNA, 490 nt
Filed under: uncultured bacterium
Lineage: Bacteria
Description: bacterial SSU rRNA
Rfam family: Bacterial small subunit ribosomal RNA
Source: RNAcentral
CGCUGGCGGCGUGCUUAACACAUGCAAGUCGAACGAGGAUAUACCAGAGGAGAGCUUCGGCAGGAAUCGGGAAUAUUCGAGUGGCGGACGGGUGAGUAACGCGUGAGCAACCUGUCCCAGACAGGGGGAUAACACUUGGAAACAGGUGCUAAUACCGCAUAAGACCACGGUAUCACAUGGUAGUGGGGUAAAAGGAGCAAUCCGGUUUGGGGUGGGCUCGCGUCCGAUUAGAUAGUUGGUGAGGUAACGGCCCACCAAGUCGACGAUCGGUAGCCGACCUGAGAGGGUGAUCGGCCACAUUGGAACUGAGAGACGGUCCAAACUCCUACGGGAGGCAGCAGUGGGGAAUAUUGGGCAAUGGGCGAAAGCCUGACCCAGCAACGCCGCGUGAGUGAAGAAGGCCUUCGGGUUGUAAAGCUCUGUUAUAGUUGACGAAGGAAGUGACGGUAGGCUAUAAGGAAGCCCCGGCUAACUACGUGCCAGCAGCCGC